RNAcentral lists this ribosomal RNA (253 nucleotides) under uncultured bacterium. RNAcentral describes it as "partial 16S ribosomal RNA". It matches the Rfam family "Bacterial small subunit ribosomal RNA", at positions 524 to 776 of the family's 1533-position model. The record is from RNAcentral.
UACGGAGGAUCCGAGCGUUAUCCGGAUUUAUUGGGUUUAAAGGGAGCGUAGGUGGAUUGUUAAGUCAGUUGUGAAAGUUUGCGGCUCAACCGUAAAAUUGCAGUUGAAACUGGCAGUCUUGAGUACAGUAGAGGUGGGCGGAAUUCGUGGUGUAGCGGUGAAAUGCUUAGAUAUCACGAAGAACUCCGAUUGCGAAGGCAGCCCACUGGACUGCAACUGACACUGAGGCUCGAAAGUGUGGGUAUCAAACAGG